GCCGACAGCGCGAAUCCGGCGAGCUCCCACAUCCCCAAACUGCCAAAACCACUUGAGAGAGUCAGUCCGACGGGGUUUGUCACGGGCAGGAACCGAGGGCAGGCGGCUCCCCGGGGGAUGCCCUAGGGCGCCCUCCCUCAGCCCUCGCCGGCUGCUGACCCGCGCGGCCGGGACACGUCCGGCUUUCCCCGGCCCCUCCGAGCCCGGCGGGGAGGGCAGGACAAGGACGUGGCCCCUGCAUGGCGCGGGUGGCACCCUACCCCGUACCUCAGCUGUCCUCACCGGGACCCCCGCCUCCCGAGCUUCACAAGGAGGAUGGAAGCACGGAAACUUGUGUAGUUUUCAAACAUGCAUCAUUAGCGAUCCAGCUUCCACUUGAACUGAAAAGCUUCAGCAACACGACCCGAGGUGAUUCUUGGUGACAGGAGCGCUUGAGGGUCCCUGGGGGUCUGGAGCCCUCUGUGGAGGUCAUUGCAGAAGGCGAUUGAGUUCAGCAGCUCCAACUCACACCACUUACCGUGUGUUUAAAGGGUUUCAGAGCAGAGGACAGGCUGAGAGUGCCCGUCACCGUCACACGCAAGAGCUCCUGCUUGUCCAGAUACAUUCUGGGCAAGGAUGGGUGUCAGGCUGCCAGACAUAGCCCAUUUUCCCUGCUGGACACUGCCCCGGGCAUUGCCCUCAUCCUGCUCUGUGCAGCAGAGCCAGUCUGUAUCCUGGCUUCCCCAUCACCUUCCUGACUGCAAACCCUGACCAAAACUAGGAAGUUCCACACUGUAUUGACAAUGAUCAAACUACCAAAAUUUACAUGAUGAAAUGCAGUCAUUACCACUAUGAUGCAUGGAGCCAGCAGAGUUUUGAGUGACAGACUCAGGCCCACCUGGAUGUAAAUGUGGCUUCCUGAGAGCCCUGUGGAGACUGUGAGGGACACUGGUUGUUGUGUGACUGAAGGCACUUUGGAACCACUGUGUGUUCAUCCCCUGCACGCUGCCCCUGGCAGGAGAGCAUCCUCCUCACCACAGUGUUGGAACCAGCAGCUCCUUUCUAAGUGAUGCCAUUCAUCCUCUUCUCUCUCCUCCCAGAUCUCCCAGACAGGUUCUGAUGCAAAAGGAGAAUAUGGGGCCAUGUCCAUGCGUGACAGUGUGGGAAGAUGGUAUUUCUCCACAACUGGAAAUACUACUGAUUGGAGAGAGGAUUUUUGGAUAUGGCAUGUUGUCUCCUGGAGAUUAGUGUGAAACUCCAUAUCUUUUCUCUGUCUGAUCUCAUUACAGUCAGCUCUCUAGGGGUGAAAAGUGAGUUCUCUAAACCAACUUAUUGUGAAAAAAUAUUUUGAAACAUAAAACAUUGUGGUUUGAUCCUACAUUCUCACAGGUAUACAUUGGAAAUCACUUGGUUGAAGUCAGGAACGUGUGUUAAGCUCUCAGAAGUAAAAACAGAAUGGAGGCUCUAAUAGUUUUUCCUACAUCAGGAAUUUGAUCUAAUCCACAGGAAAAUUGUACAUGAGUUCAACAGUCCAGCACUUUGCCUAGUGGUAUGCAGCUGAUUAUAACUCUGGACUUGUCCCUCCAAAGACCAGUCAAAAAUGAUCUCCAAACAUUUCUGAGAAGAAUUCUUGUAAAGAUGAUGAUGGUGAAUCAUGCCUUCAAAUGUGAAAGCUAGUACUGUCUCCAGAAAUUCAGUUGAUUUGAAUUUUCAGCAACAUUUUCUUCUGGACAUUACUCACCUCUGAU
Cyanistes caeruleus (blue tit) is the source of this 1727-nucleotide long non-coding RNA. RefSeq lists it as uncharacterized. The record is from RefSeq and is a predicted model, not a curated record. NCBI's taxonomy places the organism in Eukaryota, Metazoa, Chordata, Aves, Passeriformes, Paridae.